AUUCUUUUAAUAUAAAUAAUAUAGUUGACUUCCAAUCAAUAAAUUCUGGUCAACCCCAGAAAAGAAUA
This is a non-coding RNA of Chrysochloris asiatica (Cape golden mole), 68 nucleotides long. The record is from the annotation of a RefSeq genome assembly. NCBI's taxonomy places the organism in Eukaryota, Metazoa, Chordata, Mammalia, Afrosoricida, Chrysochloridae.